Long non-coding RNA from Aethalodelphis obliquidens (Pacific white-sided dolphin), 1001 nucleotides. RefSeq lists it as uncharacterized. The transcript has 5 exons. The record is from RefSeq and is a predicted model, not a curated record. Lineage: Eukaryota; Metazoa; Chordata; Mammalia; Artiodactyla; Delphinidae.
AGUCUGCUCAGUUCCAUCCGAAAACUGCUGGACAGUCAGGACAAAUGGUUGCCCCCAGAAUUGUCAGGCACGUACAGAGCCUCACAACAGUUUACCUGGGAGCAGAAACCUCUGUGGGAGCCGGGACCAGGCAGGAAAACCUGAACUGGAAUUAACAAGUUGCUGGAGGUUCAGUGUGGACAGUCUGAGAGCACAGAAAUUUUCAGUGAAAGGCUUGAUGAGGACAUACUCAGAUGAGGAAAUAGCUUCCAACACUCCAGAAGAUUCCCUGGACCACUCUCAGCACUAUCUGCCCCACAGAUUGUAUAGCCCCUGCUGAGAACAGCUCCAAGUACAAACAGGAAGGAAACAGCCCUGCCCUCGAGUCCAGUGAGGAAGAUAAACAAGCCUGUAGCAAUUACAACUCAGUUGAGUAACAUGAGUGAAGGCACCUAUUCCUCUGACAAUCAAGCUUUACUUUUCAGUAAAAGAAACAUGCAAAAUGGGUCCAAAAUUAGUUACAUAUACAUGACCACGGUCACUUGGUGAGUCAUUACAGAAGAUGAGACCACACAGAACUUGUAAAUUUGAUGCAUGGUUACAAAUAUCCAGAGAAGACUUUAUUUUCACCCAGAGACGGGGUGCAAUAGAAAAACUGCCUCGAUGCCUUUCCUCCUCAGCUUGGAAGUUUUGAAUCUACUCCUGCACUAAAAUACCUUGAAGCCUCCUUCUUCAUAGAAGCUUUCACUUCACUUCCCUGAACCAAUAAGCCCCCGUUCUCCUGACUGCACAUGAUUAUUAAAAUUUAAACUCUUCAGAUUUGAAACCUGACUUGAUAUUGUUAAUUUUUCAGUAUGAUAUUGUAUUUGGUUAUAUUUGUUUAGAAAGCCCAUUUUAUAUAAACCUGGUAAAAACUUUACAGAUGAACAUAAUAUAUGAUUGUUUUUUUUGUUUCAAAAUAACCCAAAAAAGAGUGUUGGGAAUUGAGAAGAGGUAAAGGUGAACUGUAUUUUGUCAUAGAG